GAUGAACGCUAGCGGCAGGCCUAAUACAUGCAAGUCGAACGAUAGAAGAGGGCUUGCUCUCUUCGAAAGUGGCGCACGGGUGCGUAACGCGUAUGCAACCUACCUUAAUCAGGGGGAUAGCCCGAAGAAAUUCGGAUUAACACCGCAUAAAAUCACAGUACAGCAUUGUACAAUGAUCAAAUAUUUAUAGGAUUAAGAUGGGCAUGCGUGACAUUAGCUAGUUGGCGGGGUAACGGCCCACCAAGGCGACGAUGUCUAGGGGAUCUGAGAGGAUGACCCCCCACACUGGUACUGAGACACGGACCAGACUCCUACGGGAGGCCGCAGUAAGGAAUAUUGGUCAAUGGAGGCAACUCUGAACCAGCCAUGCCGCGUGCAGGAAGACGGCCCUCUGGGUUGUAAACUGCUUUUAUUCGGGAAUAAACCUCAUUACGUGUAAUGAGCUGAAUGUACCGAAGGAAUAAGGAUCGGCUAACUCCGUGCCAGCAGCCGCGGUAA
RNAcentral lists this ribosomal RNA (498 nucleotides) under uncultured bacterium. RNAcentral's name for it is "partial 16S ribosomal RNA". It matches the Rfam family "Bacterial small subunit ribosomal RNA", at positions 28 to 523 of the family's 1533-position model. The record is from RNAcentral.